ACGCUGGCGGCACGCUUAACACAUGCAAGUCGAACGGAGUUGGAGGAGCUUGCUCUUUCAACUUAGUGGCGGACGGGUGAGUAACACGUGAGCAACCUACCUUCAAGCGGGGAAUAAUGGAGGGAAACUUCCACUAAUACCCCAUAAGAUAGUAUUUCCGCAUGGAGAAGCUAUCAAAGAUUUUAUUGUUUGAAGAUGGGCUCGCGUCCGAUUAGCCAGUUGGUGAGGUAACGGCCCACCAAAGCGACGAUCGGUAGCCGUACUGAGAGGUAGAACGGCCACAUUGGGACUGAGACACGGCCCAGACUCCUACGGGAGGCAGCAGUGGGGAAUAUUGCACAAUGGAGGAAACUCCUGAUGCAGCGAUGCCGCGUGAGGGAAGAAGGUUUUCGGAUUGUAAACCUCUGUAGUACGGGACGAAAAAAUGACGGUACCGUACAAGAAAGCUCCGGCUAACUACGUGCCAGCCGCCGC
RNAcentral lists this ribosomal RNA (474 nucleotides) under uncultured bacterium. Its description in RNAcentral is "bacterial SSU rRNA". It matches the Rfam family "Bacterial small subunit ribosomal RNA", at positions 33 to 518 of the family's 1533-position model. The record is from RNAcentral.